UACGUAGGUCCCAAGCGUUGUUCGGAUUCAUUGGGCGUAAAGAGCUCGUAGGCGGUCUGUCACGUCGGAUGUGAAAAUCCAGGGCUUAACCCUGGACCUGCAUUCGAUACGGGCAGACUAGAGUUCGGUAGGGGAGACUGGAAUUCCUGGUGUAGCGGUGAAAUGCGCAGAUAUCAGGAGGAACACCGGUGGCGAAGGCGGGUCUCUGGGCCGAUACUGACGCUGAGGAGCGAAAGCGUGGGGAGCGAACAGG
Molecule: ribosomal RNA, 253 nt
Filed under: uncultured bacterium
Lineage: Bacteria
Description: partial 16S ribosomal RNA
Rfam family: Bacterial small subunit ribosomal RNA
Source: RNAcentral